RNAcentral lists this transfer RNA (84 nucleotides) under Planctomycetaceae bacterium. RNAcentral describes it as "tRNA-Leu". It matches the Rfam family "tRNA". From Rfam's summary of the family: Transfer RNA (tRNA) molecules are approximately 80 nucleotides in length. Their secondary structure includes four short double-helical elements and three loops (D, anti-codon, and T loops). The record is from RNAcentral. Lineage: Bacteria; Pseudomonadati; Planctomycetota; Planctomycetia; Planctomycetales; Planctomycetaceae. RNAcentral also lists the same sequence under 3 other names.
GCGGCUGUGGCGGAAUUGGCAGACGCGCUAGAUUCAGGUUCUAGUGGCCGCAAGGUCGUGGAGGUUCAAGUCCUCUCAGCCGCA